GGUUCGAUGGCGCAUGGUCCGCACCUGCAUCUACUACUAGGUCUAAGCGCAAUACUUAUAGUGCAGGAAGCGCCCGUUCGACUCGGGCUCGAACCA
This is a non-coding RNA of Mycena epipterygia, 96 nucleotides long. NCBI's taxonomy places the organism in Eukaryota, Fungi, Basidiomycota, Agaricomycetes, Agaricales, Mycenaceae. The record is from the annotation of a GenBank genome assembly.